This is a long non-coding RNA of Felis catus (domestic cat), 504 nucleotides long. RefSeq lists it as uncharacterized. The record is from RefSeq and is a predicted model, not a curated record. The transcript is spliced from 2 exons. NCBI's taxonomy places the organism in Eukaryota, Metazoa, Chordata, Mammalia, Carnivora, Felidae.
CUAUCUGGAUUUCAGCUCUCUUAGAAGUUGAAGGUAGAAUGUAGAAUGGGAGGUAACCAUGGGGCAACCCUGGAACUUGAAAAUGGCUGUCCCAGAGCUAUGCUUAGACAAGUAUGCAAAGUAACUUUAAGAGCAGUAAUCUUUAUCUAUAACCUGUGAAAGUACAACACGUUCUCUGAAGAAAGGACAGCUCAUUAGAAAGGAGGCUCUUUGCAUGUAUACUUCCUGACUCAGAGCACACCAGAGAACAGGAAUCAGGAAAUCAACAACAAGGCCUCCAAUCUCCUAGAGGAACUGUCACACGCCGUGGAAGUAAUACCUGGGACAUUUUUCCACUUGGGGAGCUCUAAGUCGCCACCCAAAUCGUGUUUACUUUGUUAGUUUUGCAUGUGUGUGUGGUGUGUGUAUGAGGGAGAGAUCAUAAAAGCUACUCUUAGCCAUUAUAGAACAAAAAAAUACUGAGAAAACAAAAAUCAAUAAAAACAAGUUAAUGUCCCGAGGCAA